GGUGGUGUGGUGUAAUGGUAGCACGUGACGUUGUGGCUAAACACAGUGAUCCGUUUCAAUCUGGGUUCGAUUCCCAGCACCGCCA
This 85-nucleotide transfer RNA is filed under the name Blumeria hordei DH14. Its description in RNAcentral is "tRNA-His for anticodon GUG". It matches the Rfam family "tRNA". Rfam says of the family: Transfer RNA (tRNA) molecules are approximately 80 nucleotides in length. Their secondary structure includes four short double-helical elements and three loops (D, anti-codon, and T loops). Further hydrogen bonds mediate the characteristic L-shaped molecular structure. tRNAs have two regions of fundamental functional importance: the anti-codon, which is responsible for specific mRNA codon recognition, and the 3' end, to which the tRNAs corresponding amino acid is attached (by aminoacyl-tRNA synthetases). tRNAs cope with the degeneracy of the genetic code in two manners: having more than one tRNA (with a specific anti-codon) for a particular amino acid; and 'wobble' base-pairing, i.e. permitting non-standard base-pairing at the 3rd anti-codon position. Lineage: Eukaryota; Fungi; Ascomycota; Leotiomycetes; Helotiales; Erysiphaceae. RNAcentral also lists the same sequence under 1 other name. The record is from Rfam by way of RNAcentral.